This 211-nucleotide unclassified non-coding RNA is filed under the name soil metagenome. RNAcentral's name for it is "partial internal transcribed spacer 1". The record is from RNAcentral.
ACGUGCCCGCGAGGCCGGUGGUCGUCCCGCGGCCGCCGGUUCUUGCAUCCGGCCCAUCCUUGUCUAUCUUACCUGUUGCUUCGGCGGGCCUGCGGGCGGUGUCUGACGCCGUCCGCUGCCGGGAGGGUUCUUCCCUCCGGGCUCGCGUCCGCCGAAGGUCACCUGAAACCCUGUUGUAAAUCUGGCGGUCUCAGUGAACGGAUAAUCGUUA